This 4434-nucleotide long non-coding RNA is filed under the name Bos grunniens (domestic yak). RNAcentral describes it as "lncRNA (ENSBGRG00000005809.1)". Lineage: Eukaryota; Metazoa; Chordata; Mammalia; Artiodactyla; Bovidae. The record is from RNAcentral.
AUGGAAGCAGCAACACAAUUUUGUUGGUUUAUGUUUUUUUUUUUGGUGACUGUUGAGACACUUGAUUUCUUUAUUAAACAUCCAAGAGCGGGUUCGGAUGGAAGGGACGAGGGACGCACACGCGCGCGUAAAGAUAAGGAAAAAAAAAAAAAACAACACACAAACAAUCCUGGGAAGGUAGUGGGGUCCUCUUUCGCUCCUUCCUUCUCCUCCUGGCCUCCUGCACCUCCACCUCCUCGUCUUCCUCUUCCUCGCCGGGCUCGAUGGCGGAUUCGCGCCGGGGGCAGAGAGAUCUCUCACUGUCGGGUUGUGGCUGCUGUCAGAUCCCCGUCUCUGAGUGAUAUGCGAGAGGACAGGAGCGGGUUUGGGAAAGACAGAAAAUCUGGAAUUCACUCGCACACACUCACACACGCACACUCACACACACACACACACACACACACACUCACACUCGCUCCCUCUCACACACACACACACACACUCACACCCCCCACAGAUGCACACACACACACACACACACACCACGCGCACGCACACACAUACACACACACUCUCACACACACACAAGACAGGGCGAGGCGAUGCCAGCAAACAUCGAUCCCGCUGAACAAACUGAACAUUAACAAACUCCUCCUCCUCUCCCCGCGACCUGAUGACAGGGAGAAAUUUACUCCCCAGCCGCAGAGCGCCAGGCAGAGGGAGUCUAUUAAAGGGACAGUGUCCCGCCGGGAGCGGGGCGGGGCGGGGACCCCGGCGUGCCGCCUGCCCUGCCGUGCGCCCCGCUCGCUGGCGCUGCGACGCGCCCCCCGGGCCGCGGGGACACCCCUCGGAGGAGCGCUGAGAAAGGACGCGCUGGGGGCAGGGGGAUGGAAGGAGGAGCCCCGGGCGCCAGGUCACCUGUCGGAAGUUUGUGACGGGCAGCUGUACAGACAGCCAUAAAGCAGCACUUACGGCCAAAGUCAUCACAUUCUGGGAGCCUCUGUGUUUCAGGCGUACAUCAUUUUCUUCCUUUUCUCUGGGUUCCAGUCACUCAGCACACAGAUGGAAUUCAGCAUAGAUGGCUUAAUUCCUUCUAACAGCUCCCUAUAGGCUCUGAGCUAAGGGCUUCCCUGGUAGCUCAGCUCGUAAGGAAUCUGCCUGCAAUGCCAGAGACUCUGGUUCGAUUCCUGGUUUGGGAAGAUCCCCUGGAGAAGGGAUGGGCUACCCACUCCAGUGUUCAUAGACUAACUGGUGGCUCAGCUGGUAAAGGAUCCGUCCACAACGCGGGAGACCUGGAUUUGAUCCUUGGGAUGGAAAGAUCCCCUGAAGGCGGGCAUGGCAACCCACUCCAGUAUUCUUGCCUGGAGAAUCCCAUGGACAGAGGAGCCUGGUGGACUAUAGUCCACGGGGUCACAAAGAGCUGGACACGACUGAGUGACGAAGCACAGCACAGCAGGCUCUGAGAUAAAAGUCAGAGGACCGCAAGACCCAAAAGGCCAGUAGGAUAAUAUGGAGUACUGAGUACUCACUUUAGUCCAGGCCUAAGACUCGGCUGAGGCAAGCAAGUUCACCAUCCUAAACGGAGCUCCUCAUUCAAACUUUACGAUUGUGCGUGGCAGCAAUGCUCAUUCGCUCAACUUUGCUAAUGCAGUAACAGAGAUAUAGCAAAACCGUGUUGCUACACGUUUACAGGUUAGGAAGUAGCAUCGGCAGGAUUCUAACCCAGGCAAAAUCACAUGUGGAAUCUCUGUGCAAAGAGCUUUAGACUUCAUCGUGCUCCACCUGUGUCAACUCCUAUAGCAUUUGAAGCGAUAAUCUUACUCUUCUUUCUGCUUCCUUCAGAACUCCGGAAAAUGCCCUGCAUGGAGGUGAGUUUCUUGAAAUAAAAUUCUUCAACCGUGGACGCGUUACAAACACUUGGAGAAAAUUUUAAGAGCUCAUAUUCAUAGAAUUUUUUGGAAAAAGAGGCUUUAAAAAUUUCCCGAUCUUAUUCUAUCGAUCCUUACAGGUCAGUGGGCAGACACGUGGACUCCUCUUUGGAUGUGGAUUCCCAGGGACCACUUGGCGUUCUUGGUACCAGGAAUCGGAACCACCAGUCUGGCUGUCACAGCCAAGUUUGGCCAGCCUGGCUUUAGCUGUGAUUCUGUUUUAGACACACUUCCAUGUCAAACUGUCCAAGGAAUUAUGCCAUUUGCUAGGACCCAGCCCCCAGCCUCAUAGAGCAGAGUUCAGAGAAGGGAUUUGGAACUGAGAAACAAUAGCUUAAUAACUGGCACGCUCGUAACUUAAUCCUGGGAGUGGGUUGCAAUCCACAGAGAUGGGUCCUGGGCAGCCAUGUCCGUAUUCUGUGUGUUUGUCCCCCACUGGGCUGAGAACAUCUGGCUCAUGGGAGACCCUCGCAUCUCGUUUCUCCAGCACUGGUGUUGAGACGGCAGAUUAGAUCCUGCCACUGAAUCCAAAUCAUUCAACAUCUGGGACAGCUGUUUUCCACCAAACAGAUUAAGUGCAGAGGAAAAGCUACUCUCUGCAGCGAUCAUAGUCCGGGUAGGGAAAGCAAGGUAGAAAUGAGAAGGAAGAAUUGAGAAAGAGAGAGAGAGGGAAUCAGACGGCUGUCUAGGUCUUGACUUCAGGCUCUUUUCCCAGAGCUGGCUGCAUCCUCGUUUCGUGUGUUCCCUGAGACACCCCCACCCUUAGAAAACGACCUGGACAUUUUGCACCAGCCAAAGAAGUUGCUUUCUGCCAUCCACACCCUAAAAGCGCAGAAUCAUAGGACGACCAAAUCUUGCUACUUCUCAGAACAAAAUUUAAAUUCUUUUUGAGGCAAUGUGGCUUACAAAUAACACAUAAAUGAUUUACUGGUCAAAAACAUGGUUGGCCAACUUCCUUGGAAAAAAGACAAGAAAUGGGCAGGGCUAUUUGUUCCUUGUUUCAGCAACAGGUGACAGUAAGGAUUUCUGAAUUGUCUCCCAGCUCUAAUUUCCUUAAAAAAUUUUUUUUUCCUUACAACUUAUAAUUGGUAAUUAAACAAAAAUAACAGUAGUGUUCAGGAAAAUGAGAGGAGGGAGAAAGUCAGAAUUCAGGAGGAAAACUAGUUGUAAGUCAAGAAGGUACAUGGCCAUUUUGAGGAGAAUAAGACACACUUCAGGAAACGUGUUCCCUUGGACAGGACACAGGACAGGUGCGUCCAGUGAUGGCCUGACCCAAAAGCUAAAGUGAGGGGGGAGCUGCGGAGGAGCAGGAGGAGAGGGCAUUCCAUGGUUACCAGGGAGAAACUUAACUCGCGUGAGCUUAAUAAAGCAGUUUCAAAAGGUUUCGGUUUUUUGUUUGCUUCCCACCUGGGUCUGGGCAGAGCGCAGCCAGUCACAUUUCAGGCUCGCUGGAUCCGGGAAGUUGAGUAACGCCACCAGGACUCAUUAUCUGUGCCUCUGAGUUCCACUUGUGUCUGCACUGGCUUCAUUCCCAAGCAGAUUAUUUUUUAAUAUAAGAUGCUGCCAGAUUUAACAACUAAGAAUAUAAGACACCUAGAUUCAUUUGAACUUCAGAUAAAUAAACGACAAAUAUAUUUUUUGAGAUUAAGUAUAUCCCAUGCAAUAUUUGGGAUACACUUACACUGUAAAGUUAUUCAUUAUUUGAAUUUUACGGGGGAAUCAGGUAUUUUACUGGGGCUUCCCAGGUGGUACUAGUGGUAAAGAAGCUGCCUGCUAGAGCUGGUGACAUAAGAGACCUGGGUUCUAUCCCUGGAUCGGGAGGAUCCCUUGGAGAAGCACGUGGUAACCCACUCCAGUAUUUUAUUGGCCCACCCUCCUCACAUGAGGUGGCAAAGAUGACUGCCAAUACUUCUAGACCUUAUAUUCUAUCUUCUAUUAUGUGUCCCAUUGGAACAAUCCAUGAACUGAUCACUGUGGCUUAAGAAAUGCAAUAAUCUGAUGAGCCAGAAGACAGAAAAGAUGUGGGAACAUAAUAGCUGUCCAUGAAAAAAAAAACAACACAGACUUACAAAUGGUUGGAGUGGAAUAUAGAAACAAUUUGAGUUCAAGCUCCUCAUUUAGCAGAUACAACAGUGAAGCCUGGAGGCGGCUUUACUUCCCCAGACAGCAGUCGUGGGGGAAUCCAGGCUGGAACAUCCGCCUGCCACCUCCUUACCACCCAGGCUCUUCCCACGCACCCUCGUGGCCACCGCCAUCCAGAUAUCUACUGGAUAAGUCGGUUAGCACCCACAAGGGCUUCCUCUCUCUCUUCUCUGUAUACAAAGUGAACAGGUAAAAAGGAAAUGCUUGUCAAAACAAAUCUCUAUUUGGUUUUCUCCAUCUACGGGACAAUUUCUGUAACGUGUCAAUCACUUUGUUGCAAAAUAGCCCUUCCAACGCACAAUCCACAUUUUCUGAUGACACCAGCCUGUCAGUCACUCACUACAUCAAAGCCAGAUUUCAUGCCAGCGAAGACCAGCUUGUCAAU